Molecule: ribosomal RNA, 465 nt
Filed under: uncultured bacterium
Lineage: Bacteria
Description: partial 16S ribosomal RNA
Rfam family: Bacterial small subunit ribosomal RNA
Source: RNAcentral
GACGAACGCUUGCGGCGUGCUUAACACAUGCAAGUCGAACGGAAAGGCCCUGCUUGCAGGGUACUCGAGUGGCGAACGGGUGAGUAACACGUGGGUGAUCUGCCCUGCACUUCGGGAUAAGCCUGGGAAACUGGGUCUAAUACCGGAUAGGAGCCAUUUUUAGUGUGAUGGUUGGAAAGUUUUUUCGGUGUAGGAUGAGCUCGCGGCCUAUCAGCUUGUUGGUGGGGUAAUGGCCUACCAAGGCGGCGACGGGUAGCCGGCCUGAGAGGGUGGACGGCCACAUUGGGACUGAGAUACGGCCCAGACUCCUACGGGAGGCAGCAGUGGGGAAUAUUGCACAAUGGGCGCAAGCCUGAUGCAGCGACGCCGCGUGGGGGAUGACGGCCUUCGGGUUGUAAACUCCUUUCGCUAGGGACGAAGCUUUUUGUGACGGUACCUAGAUAAGAAGCACCGGCUAACUACGUG